Long non-coding RNA from Oncorhynchus keta (chum salmon), 101 nucleotides. RefSeq lists it as uncharacterized. The record is from RefSeq and is a predicted model, not a curated record. The transcript is spliced from 3 exons. Lineage: Eukaryota; Metazoa; Chordata; Actinopteri; Salmoniformes; Salmonidae.
AGGUGUGUGUCCAUAACCGAGUGUGUGUCCAUAACCGAGUGUGUGUCCAUAACCAGGUGUGUGUCCAUAACCAGGUGUGUGUUCAUAACCGAGUGUGUGUG